UCUGGGAUUAGAUACCCUGUUAUUAAAAAUAAAUUAUUUAAUUAUAAAGUAGUAAAAGAUUAAUGUUGAAAUUUAAAAAAUUUGGCGGUAUUUUAAUCUUUUCAGAGGAACUUGUUUUUUAAUUGAUAAUACUCAUUAAAUUUUACUUAAUUUAGUAGUUUGUAUAUCGUUGUCAUAAGAAAAUCUUUAAAAAAGGAAUAAUUUUCUAAAUUUUAUAUUAUAAUCUAUGUCAGAUCAAGGUGCAGCGUAUAAUUAAGAAAAAAUUAGUUACAAUAAAUUUAUUUAAAUGAAUAAUAAAAUUUUGUUUUAUUUGAAGGUGGAUUUGAAUGUAAAAUUUUUUUAUAAUAAAAAUUUGAUUAAAGUUUUAAAAUAUGUACAAAUCGCCCGUCACUCUCUGA
Molecule: ribosomal RNA, 398 nt
Filed under: Manota mazumbaiensis
Lineage: Eukaryota; Metazoa; Arthropoda; Insecta; Diptera; Mycetophilidae
Description: partial 12S ribosomal RNA
Source: RNAcentral